UAAUUAAAAAGACAGGAACAC
RNAcentral lists this non-coding RNA (21 nucleotides) under Caenorhabditis elegans. The record is from RNAcentral. Lineage: Eukaryota; Metazoa; Nematoda; Chromadorea; Rhabditida; Rhabditidae.